Non-coding RNA from Acanthosepion pharaonis, 109 nucleotides. Lineage: Eukaryota; Metazoa; Mollusca; Cephalopoda; Sepiida; Sepiidae. The record is from the annotation of a GenBank genome assembly.
UUAUGGUCAUAUCACGUUGAAACACCGGUUCCCCUAUGAUCAACGAAGGUAAGUUACGUCGAACCUGGUCAGUACCUAGAUGGGUGACCGCUUAGGAAUACCAGGUGUU